AAAUUGUCUAUCAAGCUUAAACGGUUUGACGAUCCAAAAUUAAAAUGUAUCACACAAAAUCAAAUAAAAAAAGUACUAUUUUACUAGUUCGGUUUAUUUUUAUUUGUCCAUAUUUAACAGCAGAGGCCGUAAUUACAGUAACAUUCAGUACACAGUAACAUACUGCAUGAACUCCGGGUCAGACUCCAGGGCAUCCAUUGUUUCCGGCGACAAAAUCACCUCCAAAUCCACACUUCCUCCUCCUCCUCUCCCCGGAAAAGCUGAUAUCUUCCCGUCAAAUUUAUUCGCCCGUCCACUCCGAACAGCAAGCGGCCUUCCCCACCCGAAAUCAUUAUCGUACAUUGGAAAUCUCGGCGAGCUUCCCAUGGUUAACAUAGCUCCAUCGAAAUUUCCCAACGGAAAACACCGUGGAUCCUUUUCCCAAUCCUCUACGAACUUCCUCACCAUAACAUCAUCGUGCGCGUUCACGUUUUUGGUCAAUUGCUCCGCACACCAGUACAGAUCAUUAGCCAGAACUUCCCCUGCUGAUGCGUAAAUCGGAAUGCUCUGAAUUGCAUUGCCGAAGUACAACGGAUUUAGCUUCGGUUGGAGACGGUGACGGCAAUUUACCGCCAUUCUAAAUGUCGUCAUUUUCGAAGGUGGGAAUUUCCUUGCACGUGUUACUGCACGCCACAGCAAUGCGCAUAGCGAUUGAAAUGACGAAAUCUCAGCCGUUUCCGUUUUGAUUUUCAGGUGAUCGUUGCUCUGUUUUGCAAUCAAUUCAACAAUGUUGAUUCCUCCAUCGAAAUUCAAUUUCUGAUUGUUCGUCUUCGCUUUGAGUCUCUGAAUCGAUUCCCUGCUAAAACUAAAAAUCCUCUCCCUCAACGGAGCAUCACCGGCGAAGGUAACUUUCGGUCCAUCAGCCGGUAGUUUCAGUACAGAAUUUGAAAUCAAAACAGAAUCACGUGUAAAAUCAGGCUGCCUUACAAUCCUUUUCACACCUCUACUCACCUCAGCAAACGUAUUGAAGAAAUUCCAAAUCGAAGUCCCGUCAGUGACGGAAUGAUUGACGGCGCAUCCAAUGAAUACGCCGUCAGCUAAUUCCGUCACUUGUACAGCUAGAAGAGGGAUAAAAUGCCCUCGAUAGCUAACCGUUCUGUCGAAAGGGAAAAACUCGUUAACACAAUGAGGAACAUCAAUAGAACCUAUCACAUCGCGAAUACAAAUGUGUGUAGCUGAAGCAUGUACAAAAUCAACACCAUCGUCGUUGCAGGUGAUGUAUACGUAGCCAUCUGAAUCUGUGACAAAUCGUCCCGCGAGCGGAGGGAAGCGAGUGAGAGUAUGAGAUAGAUUGAUUUUAAGAAGGGAAAUGAGUUGAGGUAUCGGAAAAGGUGGACGAGUGAAUAAACAACCUUUCUGAAUGUAGUGAACAGAGAGCAUAGGAAGAUCGGAAACGGAGAGUUUCAGAUCGGGAAGUGACGAUUUUUCCGACGGGAAAACGGUGCAUUUGGAUACCAAAGCUACAGGUGGAGUAGUCAUUGUUAG
This 1524-nucleotide unclassified non-coding RNA is filed under the name Hevea brasiliensis (rubber tree). Lineage: Eukaryota; Viridiplantae; Streptophyta; Magnoliopsida; Malpighiales; Euphorbiaceae. The record is from RNAcentral.